Non-coding RNA from Leptonychotes weddellii (Weddell seal), 2219 nucleotides. NCBI's taxonomy places the organism in Eukaryota, Metazoa, Chordata, Mammalia, Carnivora, Phocidae. The record is from RefSeq and is a predicted model, not a curated record.
AAAAAAAAAAAAAAAAAAAAAAGUCUAAUGUGACCUAUGUACGUGCCGACACAAGUUACUAUGGACUGUCUGUCUGAGAUUUAAAGUGAGACUCGGGUUUUUUCCCCUCCAUUUCUCUAUUUGUGUAACACAGAGUUGGGCACAUAGUAGGCCCUGAAUUUUGGCUUCGAUUUGCAUAUGCUAGUUUGAUGAAACUGAUGACAAAGUUUGAAGCUUCACGAGUUGGAAGAACUUGGCCACAUCUAAUUCAGAGAAGCAAGAGAUUCAGGGACGCUAGACUUGGACGGCUGAAUAAUAUGGGAUGUGGUUCAAGGACCAUCGAGCAUGUCAGGCCAUCACUGCAGACUCCCUGUAACUCGUGAAGUGGGACAUAUGGCUACCUUCUUGUUCCCCACUGUGGAGAGGAGGGGAAUAAACAUCUUCACUGUGGCCUGUCGGAUUUCUUUCACCUUAGGCCAGUCCCAUAACAAUGGCCAUCGAGAGAGCACAUGGAGUGCCCCUGGCCCUGCGCUGGCCUGCCAUGGAAAAGCAGUCUUAGAAGAAUCACUGUCUAAGGGUGGCUUUAAUGCUACAAAAAUGUGGGCUAAGUGAGGUCUGGGGUAGGAAACGGCACAGUUUAGGAGACCAUCCUCUUCAUCUGAAGCCCAAGGACACGGUCUGCACCAAAUCCUGCCACUCUGGAAACCUCUCAGGAUGUCGUCAGUGGGGAAGUUAGAAGGCUUCAGGUUGGAGUUGAGGAAGAGCAACCGUAACGCAUUCCUUUACCCAGGUGAGAGCUGAAACUGGAUUCAGGGUCCAGCACUGAUUGUGAACCUUCUUGGGCCAGGCUGCGCCAGGCGUGGCAGAGACCACAGACUUGGGUAAGGCCGCAGGUUCUCUGGAAGCACCUCGUCCAACCCAGGUGACAGUAGGGGGCAAGCAAGAUGAGGCCACAAAGGUAGGAUGUUGGGCAGCAGGCGAAGUGCUGUGCCCAGCCUCAGUUGCUGUGGGAAGGAGAGAGCAGAGCAGGCUGGGGAGAGCGGAAAGCACAGCUUGGAGCACUGCUCUCAAACCUGAGUCCGUGCUGGAGUUAACUGUAGGGCCCCGCCCCGGAGUUUCUGGUUCACUAGGUCCUGAGCGGGGCCUGAGAAAGUAUGUUUUGACCAGCCCGGGUGCUUACUGAUGCUCUGGCCAGGGUCCACACUUUGAGACCCACUGACGUAGAGGAAGUGAUGCUUAAAUUGAGCCAGGGCUAGGGUAUGAAUUGGGGCAGAUGGGUGAGCGGAGGCAGCAAAUUCUCAGUGGAAGUUGCGGCAUGGACAGAGGUAUGGAGAGAAAGCAAGGGGUUAUGUUGGGAAAACCCACAUAGUCCAGCUGGAGAAACAGUGGUAAAUAAGGAUGGAGUGGAAUUGGGAGAAAACCUUGAAAUACUACUUCGUGGAGCCAGUGCCUACUUGGGAGGUAAUCAAGGAGCCCAACGGGUUUGGAGCGGAAAAGACAUCUAACCAUAAUUACAUUGCUGCGAAAUCUAGCAGCAGCAGUCGCCCAAACUAAUUGAUUAGCACCACCUGCCAGGAGAGCUGUGUUGAGAAGGAUUCUGAGGCUGAGAACAGACCCAGCACUGGGAUUCGUGGUGUUUUCGCUGUGAGUAGAGAAAUGGAAGGGUGGUAAUUUCACUAUGUGCCAUCCCCAGACUAGAGGGGGGACAUGUUAGGAGAACAUCAGAAUACCUGAGAUAAACAGUAAUCCGGAACUGAUGAGUGGCGUUCCUUCGAGCAUAUGUAAGGACUUAAUAUAGGGUAGCACAGUGGAAGCAAAUGUAAAAGAUAUUGCUAAGGUAGAAUUUGCUAGAUACGGGCAGUAACGGAUUCAUUUAUUCAGCAAAAAUUGGUGGCCCGAAGGCAGGGGUACAGGAAGAUAUAAACGUUGCUCACUGGGAACUCAGAGCCUAGAGGGGAAAGCGAACAAGGUCCCCACACAGUUGGGCCCCCUGGCCAUACAUCCGUGAGAGACUUUCUAGAGGAGAUGUCUGACCUAGUCCCAAAGCGUUGGUGAAAGUGCUGCAGAGACCUGCUGGGGUGUCAGGCAGGCCCAGGGGCGGCGAGCAUGGACUGGGGAAGAGGGCUCGGCACGGAGGGGAGUCUGUACGGAGCUGCAGCGCCUGUCGGCUGCCGGGUUGCAGACCGUAACAGCUGUGACAGCCUGAUAGCGGCCACGUGAUGAGAGCCCAGGGGUCCCUG